AACUAAGGGACCGUUCAUUAUUUAUACCCAGGGUUGGUACCGAAGAGAAGCGAAAAACAGUGUAAAUUUUUUAUUUACCCAACCUCAACAUUGGUCAAAAUAAUGUUUACCCAACCCAUGUGUUACUGCACUUCAUAAUAAUUAAACACACGAGAUUAUGGUGACAGAAAUCAAGUUGCCUAAAUUCUAAAAGCUCACUCAGACUCACACUCACUGAGUGUGCCAAAGCAAUCACGUUCCUGCUGAUCAAUGAUAGAGUCC
Paramuricea clavata is the source of this 261-nucleotide non-coding RNA. The record is from the annotation of a GenBank genome assembly. Lineage: Eukaryota; Metazoa; Cnidaria; Anthozoa; Malacalcyonacea; Plexauridae.